GAAGACAAGAAUGUUCUUUUCACCAUCCUUUUUAUCUAAACCAUAGGCAAUGGCUGCUGCAGUUGGUUCAUUAAUGAUUCUUGCAACAUUCAAACCAGCAAUGACACCGGCAUCCUUGGUUGCCUGCCUCUGGGCAUCAUUGAAAUAAGCUGGUACAGUUACAACGGCAUCCUUGAUUUUCUUUCCAAGGAAUGCUUCAGCUGUCUCCUUCAUCUUAGUGAGAAUCAUGGCACUUAUCUCCUCAGGACUGAAAACCUUAGUCUCCCCAUCCCUAAUCAUGACUUGUACAUAAGGCUUUCCGUCCUUGUUCACAAUCUUGUAUGGAACAAGCUUCAUAUCCUUCUGAACCUCCUUGUCCUCAAACUUUCUUCCGAUAAGUCUCUUUACAUCAAAGAUUGUCCUUUCGGCAUUGACAGCUGCCUGAUUCUUUGCAGCCUCACCGAUCAAUCUCUCAGUAUCAGUGAAUGCAACCCAUGAUGGGGUAAUUCGAUUACCCUGGUCAUUGGCUAUGAUUUCAACAUGACCGUUUCUGUAAACGCCCACACAAGAGUAUGUUGUACCAAGGUCUAUGCCAAUUACGGUUCCUAGCUUGGUUGCUUCCUCUUUCGCAAUGGAAAAUGCAAAUAAACUCCCGAAGAAAACCAUAGCUAGAACGAUUAGAGAAGCUCGUCGUCUGAAAGCAAAGGCCAUCGCGUAAAUCCUUCACCUUCUUCUUCUUCUUCUUCUUCUUC
Molecule: unclassified non-coding RNA, 731 nt
Filed under: Hevea brasiliensis (rubber tree)
Lineage: Eukaryota; Viridiplantae; Streptophyta; Magnoliopsida; Malpighiales; Euphorbiaceae
Source: RNAcentral